RNAcentral lists this unclassified non-coding RNA (351 nucleotides) under soil metagenome. RNAcentral's name for it is "partial contains 5.8S ribosomal RNA, internal transcribed spacer 2, and large subunit ribosomal RNA". The stretch from base 1 to 120 matches the Rfam family "5.8S ribosomal RNA", at positions 35 to 154 of the family's 154-position model. The record is from RNAcentral.
GAUGAAGAACGUAGUGAAAUGCGAUAAGUAAUGUGAAUUGCAGAAUUCAGUGAAUCAUCGAAUCUUUGAACGCACAUUGCGCCCGCCAGUAUUCUGGCGGGCAUGCCUGUUCGAGCGUCAUUUCAACCCUCAGGCCCCCAGUGCCUGGUGUUGGGGAUCGGCCCAGCCUUCCUGUAAGGCCGCCGGCCCCGAAAUCUAGUGGCGGUCUCGCUGUAGUCCUCCUCUGCGUAGUAGCACAACCUCGCAGUUGGAACGCGGCGGUGGCCAUGCCGUUAAACACCCCACUUCUGAAAGUUGACCUCGGAUCAGGUAGGAAUACCCGCUGAACUUAAGCAUAUAAUAAGCGGAGGA